Molecule: long non-coding RNA, 1414 nt
Filed under: Helianthus annuus (common sunflower)
Lineage: Eukaryota; Viridiplantae; Streptophyta; Magnoliopsida; Asterales; Asteraceae
Source: RNAcentral
UUAUAGAAGCUACAGGUCGUCUCAAGAUCUACAUGUUAUGGAAAAGGACUUAUGUAAUUUAAUUUUUGGGUUUGGCAUAUAUGUAAUUAGUAGAGUUAAUAGGGAAAUAAAUGUAAUUGCCCCUAACACGAUAUUUUUUACGCUACUUUUUUUAUUUUAUGUUUAAAUUUGUCGCAGUAACGUAUUUGGAGAACAAUUGAGCGGGUAUCACGGUGUUCGGAUUUAUGCUGGAUAGGACUUCAUUGCACACUAAGGUAACGAUCUGCCAAUCUGAGAGAGUAGGAAUGUUGUUGUAUCCGAUUAUUUCAAAUGGUUCGAGAUUCUGUUGGUGAAUAUAAAUGAUCUGAUAUGGAUAAAUUCUUCUCUAUGUAUUAUGAUACAAAUGCUUCCUAAGUUCCUAUCAAAACCAUUACCUUCAUUUUUUGUUUGUACGUAUUUGUUAUAGAUUCUUCUGGUGGCAUUGUUGCAGAUAACCAAGGUAAGUUGGUUUUUAGGGAUGUUUUUUGGUUGCAAUGUGUCGAAAACUCCUUUCUGCAUUUGCGGCUCCUUAUUACCCAUUCGAGUGGUCUACGUGGGUUCCGAAGAAGGUUGAUGUUCUCUGUUUGAGAGCAGAGCAAAACCGACUCUCAACUUUAGAGGGCUUGCAUUGAAGGAACCUUGUAUGGGGUUCGAUAAAGUGUCGUUUGUGUGGAGAAUAUACAGAGACGUCACACCUGUUCUCCUCAUGUUUCAUAGCAGCAAACUUAUGAAGUAAAGUAAGCUAAUGGUGUGAAAUUCCGCCAAUCUUUGCUUUCACUUUUAAAGACCUACUGCAAGCGGUAAUUCUCACCACCUGCUGGUCAUAUGGAAGGGCGAAACGGACUUAUUUUUUCACGCAGAAGAGUUAUUCUUGAGCAGCUGCUAAGCGAGAUCAAAACAAUGUCAUUCAUGUGGGUCAAAAAUCGAGCGAAGCGUAUUGAGGUAGAAUGGGACAACUGGCGAAGAUUCGAGGUUUCAAAUGUUUUGCUUUGUCCAUUUGCAGUAGGAAGUAAUGUUGUACAGCCAGUAUGCUUCAGUAUGGUACGAUAUCGGUACUGUAUUGUUGUCAAAUCAACGCCACCUGAUUUGAUGGAGGAAGCAGGGAAACUCAAGUUUGUAUGCUUAUCGAAUGAUAAUAUUGAUGAACAUAUGAUGUGAUCUUUAGUGAUGGCCGUAGCCAGAAGUUCUAGAUGGCUUAGAGAAACAGUAAAUGUUGUUUGUCGGGGGACACCUUAAUCCUUGAUAAAAGUAAAAAAAAAAAAAUAGAAUUUUUUAUAUUUCUAUGCAUUUUAACUGUAUUUUCACUUUGUCAAUAAGUAAUUUCUGUAAUAAAUAUGUCACUUUGUUUGUAUUUAUAUUAUUUGUACACUUUGUGAUAAUGUAUAUUAAAUUUUCC